This 372-nucleotide transfer-messenger RNA is filed under the name Bacilli. RNAcentral's name for it is "Ventrenecus sp944363675 Standard tmRNA". It matches the Rfam family "transfer-messenger RNA". Rfam says of the family: Bacterial tmRNA, also known as 10Sa RNA or SsrA, is named for its dual tRNA and mRNA-like properties. Its role is to liberate the mRNA from a stalled ribosome. RNAcentral also lists the same sequence under 1 other name. Lineage: Bacteria; Bacillati; Bacillota. The record is from RNAcentral.
GGGGCAGUAAUUGGUUUCGACCUGAAUUACUAAUUGAGACUGCAAGUAGUAGGCAUACUUUAAAUGCACAAAUUAAAAUUAAAUGACGAAGAUAAUUCGUAUGCUUCUUUUGGAGCUUUCGCUCCUACAUUUGCCUAAUUUAAGGUAGAAGAAGGCUUUUAUUCACUUUUUCUUAUAGGGUGUUUAAGGGUUCAUAGAUAUAAGAUAUAUAAAAUUGUUUUUCCUUAGAUAAUUUUACGAACUUUUAUAAGGAUCGCAUAGAAUUUUGGUGGGUUGGAUCCAUGUUUUAUGUUAAAUUAAUUCCAACUAAACUUGUAGACGUUUCAAGAUAGGAUUUAUGGGACAGGAGUUCAAAUCUCCUCUGCUCCACCA